AGUCACGCGAGGCUGGCUUGCUGGAACCGGCUAGAAAAUGCAGCCCUGCCUGCCGCAGGGAUCUCCUCCGGUAUGGCCACACAUAUGAGUUCUGGCAAUGCCCAUUAGUGAUAUGGCCGAUAGUUUCUUCUGUCUUGCUUCCAGGAACCUUUUCUUGGUUUGAAGCCACCGAACCAGAAGAGAGAAUUUUUACCACUUUGAGGACUUCUUGUGACGAAUCCAAUGGGAAUUCCAUAAUAUUCAGAAACAAAACAUUUUGAGGGCCAACAAAUUAUUAAGCCCUUUGCUAGGUCUUAGAGAUACAAAGAUAAAGAAGACUGGAGUUUUCUUUUUAUUAUCUACCAGACUGAAGGCCACUGCCUGGGGACUUGAUCUAAGAGAAGAAAUAUCAGGAGACCUGGGUUUGGCUCCUGGCUCUGCCAGGUGAUCAUGGAGCAGUCACGUAUUAUCCCUGAGCUUCCGUUUCCUCAUCUACUUAAUUAGUGAUGGGUCUACAGGGCCUUGCUGGGGUCCACUUCUGACAUUCUGUGUUGCAUGGACCAUGUCAGAGAAGAUGGAGACACCUUCACGGCCUGUUAGUCACAUCUCACCAAAGCUUCUCAAUGGGCUGUCAGACAAGAAAGGAGCCUCCUGUAGCCAUCUUAAUCAGCAUCCCCCAUCUGUGAGGUCAUCGGGAUAUUUCAAACAAUCUUCAGCUCUCAUUAGUUGAGUGCGUUUCACAGAUAGUUGUCCGGAAAAGGAAGAGGAUGACACUGAUGACCAGCCGUCUUGGGUGGUUCACAGGCUCACUAAGGAGGCAGUGUUGAGCCUGACGGAUCUGUGAAGGCCCCUCCGACUUGUAACUGUAAAAUGAUGACUCUUGAUGGAACUCUACAGUUGUUGACACCUGGUGGGCCACCUACAGCUGAAGGUUCAAAGUGAUAAAACAAACCUGGUACGGAAAUAACUGAUUGUGGAACGCGAAGGACCUGUGAUCAUGCAAAGGUGACAGAGCAGACACUGAUAGUAGAACUGUGGAGAAGUAUCCCUGGAGAUGACCCACAAUCUCAAGAAGGCUGAAGAGGAGAGGAAGAGAAUGGAUAAAUCGAAACAAGUGUUUAGAUGAUCAAGGCCUUAUAAGCCAUACCGCCAUGUAAGACGUGCCAUUC
RNAcentral lists this long non-coding RNA (1148 nucleotides) under Homo sapiens (human). RNAcentral's name for it is "non-protein coding lnc-CYP1B1-1:5". Lineage: Eukaryota; Metazoa; Chordata; Mammalia; Primates; Hominidae. The record is from RNAcentral.